This 494-nucleotide ribosomal RNA is filed under the name uncultured bacterium. Its description in RNAcentral is "partial 16S ribosomal RNA". It matches the Rfam family "Bacterial small subunit ribosomal RNA", at positions 30 to 506 of the family's 1533-position model. The record is from RNAcentral.
UGAACGCUGGCGGCGUGCCUAAUACAUGCAAGUCGAGCGAGCGGACGAGAAGCUUGCUUCUCUGAUGUUAGCGGCGGACGGGUGAGUAACACGUGGAUAACCUACCUAUAAGACUGGGAUAACUUCGGGAAACCGGAGCUAAUACCGGAUAAUAUUUUGAACCGCAUGGUUCAAAAGUGAAAGACGGUCUUGCUGUCACUUAUAGAUGGAUCCGCGCUGCAUUAGCUAGUUGGUAAGGUAACGGCUUACCAAGGCAACGAUGCAUAGCCGACCUGAGAGGGUGAUCGGCCACACUGGAACUGAGACACGGUCCAGACUCCUACGGGAGGCAGCAGUAGGGAAUCUUCCGCAAUGGGCGAAAGCCUGACGGAGCAACGCCGCGUGAGUGAUGAAGGUCUUCGGAUCGUAAAACUCUGUUAUUAGGGAAGAACAUAUGUGUAAGUAACUGUGCACAUCUUGACGGUACCUAAUCAGAAAGCCACGGCUAACUACGU